GAUGAACGCUAGCGAUAGGCUUAACACAUGCAAGUCGAGGGGCAGCACAAGGUAGCUUGCUAUCUGGGUGGCGACCGGCGCACGGAUGCGUAACGCGUAUGCAACUUGCCCUAUACAGGAGGAUAACCCGUCGAAAGACGGACUAAUACUGCGUAUGCUCACAACUUGGCAUCAAGUGGUGAGGAAAGAAAUUCGGUAUAGGAUAGGCAUGCGUCCCAUUAGCUUGUUGGUGAGGUAACGGCUCACCAAGGCAACGAUGGGUAGGGGAACUGAGAGGUUUAUCCCCCACACUGGUACUGAGACACGGACCAGACUCCUACGGGAGGCAGCAGUGAGGAAUAUUGGUCAAUGGGCGCGAGCCUGAACCAGCCAAGUCGCGUGAAGGAUGACUGUCUUAUGGAUUGUAAACUUCUUUUAUACGGGAAUAACAAGAGUCACGUGUGACUCCCUGCAUGUACCGUAUGAAUAAGCAUCGGCUAACUCCGUG
This 487-nucleotide ribosomal RNA is filed under the name uncultured bacterium. Its description in RNAcentral is "partial 16S ribosomal RNA". It matches the Rfam family "Bacterial small subunit ribosomal RNA", at positions 28 to 507 of the family's 1533-position model. The record is from RNAcentral.